Molecule: long non-coding RNA, 327 nt
Filed under: Carica papaya (papaya)
Lineage: Eukaryota; Viridiplantae; Streptophyta; Magnoliopsida; Brassicales; Caricaceae
Description: long non-coding RNA (CPAP_LNC002339)
Source: RNAcentral
CACGGGACGGGCCAUGUGGGCGAACCGCGUGCGCGCGAUCGGACAGCGCAGAUCCGUCCCUGCGCACACGGACAGCCCAGAUCAAAUGUGCGCACAGACGGCCCAGAUCUCACACGGACGGCCGGAAAACCCUGCUGAAGUCUAGCGGCGCCGCCGCGGCUUCCCUCUAUUUUUGCCUCCGAUGAGGCCCUUCCCGGCCUCCAUUCGAUGCAAUUUUUAUACCAUUGUGAUUACCGUUCUUUUCUCUACAGGUUGACCAGAGCAAAAUAUCAAAACGCGACUCAUAUCGGAGAAGCCACCGCACCCGAGAGCACCGCCAUCGAUAAG